AAGCAUUCCCAUAGCUUGUAGACGAGGGGGGUGAAGCCAGAAAAUGGCAGUUUAAGACGAGUGAGAACGUUGCAAUAGGAUGCAGGCUUUCUCUUUCUAUUGUCAAGAGCAAUGUGGCGCCGUCGAAUAGUGUACAUGGUGUAAAUCAUGUGAAAGAGUGCGAAUAUGUACUGUGAUAGUAAGCACGUAAAGCAUAUAUAAAUAUUAGAAAAGUGAAUUGUGAAAAACAUGUCUUCGUGUUGUAUUUGCGGCAUCUACUACGUACCGAAAUUAUAUGGAAUCAUUUUUCAUAAAUAAGAACAUAACCUAAUGCUUCCAAAAAACGUAGAGAAAAGAAAUCGAUGGCUUGCGAUACUUAAAACAAAAAUACGUAAUUUUACACAUACUGCUACGUCAGUAAUAUGCAAUCAACAUUUUGAAAAAGAAUGUUAUUACGUAACGGCCACCGGCAAGUUUAUGAUAAAACCUGAUGCUGUACCAACAAUAUUUAAUUCACCAUUAAAAGCAAACUAUUGGGUUGGCCAAAAACAAAAAACAAUUCCAAAAA
This is a long non-coding RNA of Ooceraea biroi (clonal raider ant), 547 nucleotides long. RefSeq lists it as uncharacterized. NCBI's taxonomy places the organism in Eukaryota, Metazoa, Arthropoda, Insecta, Hymenoptera, Formicidae. The record is from RefSeq and is a predicted model, not a curated record.